RNAcentral lists this long non-coding RNA (665 nucleotides) under Vigna radiata. Its description in RNAcentral is "long non-coding RNA (VRAD_LNC014061)". The record is from RNAcentral. Lineage: Eukaryota; Viridiplantae; Streptophyta; Magnoliopsida; Fabales; Fabaceae.
UAAAAUCUAAUUAAUUAGAACCUUGCAAUUAAUUAGACUGAACUUUAAAAUUUCUAAUUUGUGGCAUGAUGACUAGGCAGAUAUUAACCACGUGUGGCAAAAAGACCACAAUACGUGUAAUUUAAAAAUUUGAAAGAAUUGGGAUUUUAUUAAAUCCAUAAUUUCAAACAGAAUGUCUUCUUCGAAGAGACCAUCAUCAUGUUCGUCGUCGAUAAGGAUGCCAUGAUCGCCCUCCUCAACAAGCACCUCACCCCCUCACCCGCUUUAUCAUUUUUACUAUGCCUCUUUUUCCAAAACCCUAUUUUUCCAUCUUCUCCACCGUGUCUUGCGCCUUCAUGUUUUGCAUCUUCUCCGUAGUUGUUUUGAACCCUAAUUUUGCCUUCACCGUUGCUUCAUUUUGCAUUUUGGCAUCUUCUAAAAACACAGAUUAGGUGGAAAACCAUAAAUAAAUAAAUAAAUAUGACCAGAUCCAGAAAGAGAUUGAGAACAUGAAUUGAAUCUUUUUAAACAGGUUUGACAAUUUUGGCAAGAUUUGAAAUUGAAGUUCCACAUACGUUUACUCUUCCUCCUCCACUCUCCACUGCAAUCCAUCGCUUCUCUCCACCAAUACUCAAACUGUCAAAACAAAACAUAAAGAAUCCCAAUCUGCAUCUCAACCUCAAACC